GUGGGGAAUUUUGGACAAUGGGCGCAAGCCUGAUCCAGCCAUUCCGCGUGCAGGAUGAAGGCCUUCGGGUUGUAAACUGCUUUUGUACGGAACGAAAAGCCUCUGGUUAAUACCCGGGGGUCAUGACGGUACCGUAAGAAUAAGCACCGGCUAACUACGUGCCAGCAGCCGCGGUAAUACGUAGGGUGCGAGCGUUAAUCGGAAUUACUGGGCGUAAAGCGUGCGCAGGCGGUGAUGUAAGACAGUUGUGAAAUCCCCGGGCUCAACCUGGGAACUGCAUCUGUGACUGCAUUGCUGGAGUGCGGCAGAGGGGGAUGGAAUUCCGCGUGUAGCAGUGAAAUGCGUAGAUAUGCGGAGGAACACCGAUGGCGAAGGCAAUCCCCUGGGCCUACACUGACGCUCAUGCACGAAAGCGUGGGGAGCAAACAGGAUUAGAAACCCUAGUAGUCC
RNAcentral lists this ribosomal RNA (450 nucleotides) under uncultured bacterium. RNAcentral's name for it is "partial 16S ribosomal RNA". It matches the Rfam family "Bacterial small subunit ribosomal RNA", at positions 354 to 796 of the family's 1533-position model. The record is from RNAcentral.